Molecule: long non-coding RNA, 622 nt
Filed under: Prunus persica (peach)
Lineage: Eukaryota; Viridiplantae; Streptophyta; Magnoliopsida; Rosales; Rosaceae
Description: long non-coding RNA (PPER_LNC004898)
Source: RNAcentral
UAUUUACAAAAGAUAUUUAGUUGUCUUUUUUUUUUUUUUGAGCUCUUAACUUUUAAAAAUUGCACAUCCACUGAAAAAUUCCUAAAUCCGCCGAUGCACCAUACCUUUACACCUUAUGAAGAGGUAAAACCACCAUGAGAAGAAUCCUCACCAUCUUCUAUGCAAAGAAUAUGUAUAUGCAUUGGUCAAUGAGUUUAAAGCUCAACUUUUGAUUUGAGCAUUUGUCCGCAAUGUCCAAAAGUGCAUUUUUCACAUAUGUGGUUGAUGGCUUCUUGUCAUUGGAGGUUCAGAAGAGAAAUUGAUGAACCUAAUACAAUUGAUGGAGAAGUAUAUGUAAUUCUUUUUGUCCCGCUCUCAUUUCUUUUCUGUUUCUAUUGGAUCUGUUGUUGGUUCGUCAUUUUUUAUUAAUUAAGCAAAUAUUUCUCAAUAAUAUGUGGUGAUGGGUUUGCUUAAUCAAGUAAGAACACAUAAAAGUCAACCCUUAAAUGAUCAAUUGACAGAGACCCGAUCUAAAUUCUGCUUUGGAAUCCGAACCAGAUUCUGUACGUGUCCGACACCUGGCGAAUGUCAGGCACAAAUGACCUAUUUUUCCUUCUACACAAAACAUGAUAAAAUAACAAGG